UGUAAAAAUAGCUUAUAGAUAGAGCAUAACAUUGAAGCUGUUAAGGAGAUUUUAAAUCUUUAAAUAUUUAUAA
This 73-nucleotide transfer RNA is filed under the name Neochauliodes punctatolosus. RNAcentral describes it as "tRNA-Phe". The stretch from base 2 to 66 matches the Rfam family "tRNA". Rfam says of the family: Transfer RNA (tRNA) molecules are approximately 80 nucleotides in length. Their secondary structure includes four short double-helical elements and three loops (D, anti-codon, and T loops). Lineage: Eukaryota; Metazoa; Arthropoda; Insecta; Megaloptera; Corydalidae. The record is from RNAcentral.